GACGAACGCUGGCGGCGUGCUUAACACAUGCAAGUCGAACGGAAAGGCCCUGCUUGUGUGGGGUGCUCGAGUGGCGAACGGGUGAGUAACACGUGAGUAACCUGCCCUUGACUUUGGGAUAACUUCAGGAAACUGGGGCUAAUACCGGAUAGGAGCUCCUGCUGCAUGGUGGGGGUUGGAAAGUUUCGGCGGUUGGGGAUGGACUCGCGGCUUAUCAGCUUGUUGGUGGGGUAGUGGCUUACCAAGGCUUUGACGGGUAGCCGGCCUGAGAGGGUGACCGGCCACAUUGGGACUGAGAUACGGCCCAGACUCCUACGGGAGGCAGCAGUGAGGAAUAUUGCACGAUGGGCGGAAGCCUGAUGCAGCAACGCCGCGUGCGGGAUGACGGCCAUCGGGUUGUAAACCGCUUUCGCCUGUGACGAAGCGUGAGUGACGGUAAUGGGUAAAGAAGCACCGGCUAACUACGUG
Molecule: ribosomal RNA, 468 nt
Filed under: uncultured bacterium
Lineage: Bacteria
Description: partial 16S ribosomal RNA
Rfam family: Bacterial small subunit ribosomal RNA
Source: RNAcentral